GAUCCUGGCUCAGGAUGAACGCUGGCGGCGCGCCUAACACAUGCAAGUCGAACGGCACCCCCCUCCGGGGGGAAGCGAGUGGCGAACGGCUGAGUAACACGUGGAGAACCUGCCCCUCCUCGGGAAUAGCCGCGGGAAACCGCGGGUAAUGCCCGACGACCCGGGGACCGCGCAUGCGGCCCCCGGCAAAGCCCAGGCGGGAGGGGAUGGCUCCGCGGCCCAUCAGGUAGACGGCGGGGUGACGGCCCACCGUGCCGACAACGGGUAGCCGGGUUGAG
Molecule: ribosomal RNA, 278 nt
Filed under: uncultured bacterium
Lineage: Bacteria
Description: partial 16S ribosomal RNA
Rfam family: Bacterial small subunit ribosomal RNA
Source: RNAcentral